UACAGAGGCCUCGAGCGUUAGGCGGAAUCACUGGGCUUAAAGCGUGUGUAGGCGGACUUCUAAGUACCUUGUGAAAUCCCACGGCUCACCCGUGGAACUGCUCGGUAUACUGGUCGUUUUGAGCCUUCUAGGGGCGAGUGGAACAAAUGGUGGAGCGGUGAAAUGCGUAGAUAUCAUUUGGAACGCCAAUGGUGAAAACAACUCGCUGGGGAAGUGCUGACGCUGAGACACGAAAGCCAGGGGAGCGAACGGG
This 253-nucleotide ribosomal RNA is filed under the name uncultured bacterium. RNAcentral describes it as "partial 16S ribosomal RNA". It matches the Rfam family "Bacterial small subunit ribosomal RNA", at positions 524 to 776 of the family's 1533-position model. The record is from RNAcentral.